Molecule: non-coding RNA, 55 nt
Filed under: unclassified sequences
Source: RNAcentral
CGCAGAGGACAGCGCUACAGAGCGCUGCAAUGCGGCAGUCUGGUUCCAAGCCCAG